UACGUAGGGACCAAGCGUUGUUCGGAUUUACUGGGCGUAAAGGGCGCGUAGGCGGCAAUUCAAGUCAGCUGUGAAAUCUCCGGGCUUAACUCGGAACGGUCAGCUGAUACUGCUUUGCUAGAGUGCAGAAGGGGCAAUCGGAAUUCUUGGUGUAGCGGUGAAAUGCGUAGAUAUCAAGAGGAACACCUGAGGUGAAGACGGGUUGCUGGGCUGACACUGACGCUGAGGAGCGAAAGCAUGGGGAGCGAACAGG
Molecule: ribosomal RNA, 253 nt
Filed under: uncultured bacterium
Lineage: Bacteria
Description: partial 16S ribosomal RNA
Rfam family: Bacterial small subunit ribosomal RNA
Source: RNAcentral